RNAcentral lists this ribosomal RNA (252 nucleotides) under uncultured bacterium. RNAcentral's name for it is "partial 16S ribosomal RNA". It matches the Rfam family "Bacterial small subunit ribosomal RNA", at positions 524 to 776 of the family's 1533-position model. The record is from RNAcentral.
UACGGAGGAUGCGAGCGUUAUCCGGAUUUAUUGGGUUUAAAGGGUGCGUAGGCGGGAUGCCAAGUCAGCGGUAAAAAUGCGGUGCUCAACGCCGUCGAGCCGUUGAAACUGGCGUUCUUGAGUGGGCGAGAAGAAUGCGGAAUGCGUGGUGUAGCGGUGAAAUGCAUAGAUAUCACGCAGAACUCCGAUUGCGAAGGCAGCAUACCGGCGCCCUACUGACGCUGAGGCACGAAAGCGUGGGUAUCGAACAGG